This 468-nucleotide ribosomal RNA is filed under the name uncultured bacterium. Its description in RNAcentral is "partial 16S ribosomal RNA". It matches the Rfam family "Bacterial small subunit ribosomal RNA", at positions 28 to 507 of the family's 1533-position model. The record is from RNAcentral.
GACGAACGCUGGCGGCGUGCUUAACACAUGCAAGUCGAACGGAAAGUCCCUGCUUUUGUGGGGUGCUCGAGUGGCGAACGGGUGAGUAACACGUGAGUAACCUGCCCUUGACUUUGGGAUAACUUCAGGAAACUGGGGCUAAUACCGGAUAGGAGCUCCUGCUGCAUGGUGGGGGUUGGAAAGUUUCGGCGGUUGGGGAUGGACUCGCGGCUUAUCAGCUUGUUGGUGGGGUAGUGGCUUACCAAGGCUUUGACGGGUAGCCGGCCUGAGAGGGUGACCGGCCACAUUGGGACUGAGAUACGGCCCAGACUCCUACGGGAGGGAGCAGUGGGGAAUAUUGCACAAUGGGCGGAAGCCUGAUGCAGCAAAGCCGCGUGCGGGAUGAUGGCAUUCGGGUUGUAAACCGCUUUCGCCUGUGACGAAGCGUGAGUGACGGUAAUGGGUAAAGAAGCACCGGCUAACUCCGUG